GGGCGCGUAGCUCAGCGGGAGAGCAUCGGUCUUACAAACCGAGGGUCGCAGGUUCGAAACCUGCCGCGCCCACCA
RNAcentral lists this transfer RNA (75 nucleotides) under Solihabitans fulvus. RNAcentral describes it as "Goodfellowiella sp. AN110305 tRNA-Val". It matches the Rfam family "tRNA". From Rfam's summary of the family: Transfer RNA (tRNA) molecules are approximately 80 nucleotides in length. Their secondary structure includes four short double-helical elements and three loops (D, anti-codon, and T loops). The record is from RNAcentral. Lineage: Bacteria; Bacillati; Actinomycetota; Actinomycetes; Pseudonocardiales; Pseudonocardiaceae.